UGGGAUGGCAGGCUGCUCAGAGCAGCUUGGCUUGGCCCAGAGGUCUCAGCCAGCUGGGGAGAUGGGUGGGGAAAGGGAAGCUUACCUGUAUGGUUCAGGAGUCUGAUGGAGGUAGAGGAGAGGCAGCAGGAGAAUGGAAGUCCCCUGGGAUGGCAGGCUGCUCAGGGAGGGAAUUGGAAGGAAAAAAGAAAAGGGAGGGAAAUGGGGAAUUCAGGAUCAGGUGUAGUGAAGAACAGGAGAGAUGGCUAGAUGACCACAAAAAUGAAUGGAAAUCUGCAAAUGAUGAGGACAGGAGCAUGUUGUUCUCUGAGAGGCUCCACCCAGCAGCUGACUCAAACAGAUACAGAUACCCACAGCCAAACAGUGGAUGGAGCUUGUGGACUCUUAAGAAGAAUAGGAGGAAGGAUUUCAGGGCCCAAAGGGGAUAGGAACUCCACAAGAAGACUAACAGAGUCAACUCACCUGGACCCUUGGGUCUCUCAGAGUCUGAACCAUCAACCAAAGAACAUAGACAGGCUGCACCUAGGCCUCCCAGAUGUGUAGCAGAUGUGCAGCUUGGUCUUCAUGUGAGUCCUAAAAAAUCUGGAGUAUUAGCUAUCCCAAAAGUUGUUGCUAGUAAGUGAGAUAUGUUCUACUAGCUAAGCUGCCUUGUCUGGCCUCAAAGAGACUUGCAGUGCCAGGGUAGGGGGCAUACACAGGCUCUCCCUCCACUCUGAGAAGAAGGGGAGGGGGAGGGAUUAUGGGAGGAGUUAACUGAAAGGAGGAGCAGUGAACAGGGUGUAAAGUGAGUACGUAAAAAACAGUAAAAUUGAAUAAAAGAUUCCAGUGUAGCUUUCAUCAAUACUCAGCUGGAUCUCCUCAGAAUCUAUGAAGCUGAGAGUCAACCUCUGUGCAGGAUGAAAGUCACCACACAGCCUCUGGAUAAUUUUCAGUUGGCAUAUUGUAUACACUUUUUUAGCUGAUUUCACAUUAUCUAACAACACUCCACAUAGCCCUUGAACAUCAUAAUAUCUAGUUUGCCAGCUAAAUGAUAUAUAGUUCCUAUUGGCCACAGGCUUAUCAUUAUGUGUGAGUUUCUAGAUCAUUCUUUGAGGCCCUAAUGGAUAGUGCCUGAAAACCUAUCACCCACUUCUGGCAUAAUAUUCACAGCAUUUCAUGCAAAGCCUUUGAUCUGUGAUAAAAAAUAAAGUCCAUAGCAGGAUAA
RNAcentral lists this long non-coding RNA (1204 nucleotides) under Mus musculus (house mouse). Its description in RNAcentral is "predicted gene, 41142". The record is from RNAcentral. Lineage: Eukaryota; Metazoa; Chordata; Mammalia; Rodentia; Muridae.